GACGAACGCUGGCGGCGUGCUUAACACAUGCAAGUCGAACGGAAAGGCCCUGCUUUUGUGGGGUGCUCGAGUGGCGAACGGGUGAGUAACACGUGAGUAACCUGCCCUUCACUUUGGGAUAACUUCAGGAAACUGGGGCUAAUCCCGUAUAGGAUCUCCUGCUGCAUGGUGGGGGUUGGAAAGUUUCGGCGGUUGGGGCUGGACGCGCGGCUUAUGAGCUUGUUGGUGGGGUAGUGGCUUACCAAGGCUUUGACGGGUAGCCGGCCUGAGAGGGUGACCGGCGACAUUGGGACUGAGAUACGGCCCAGACGCGUACGGGAGGCAGCAGUGGGGAAUAUUGCACAGUGGGCGGAAGCCGGAUGCAGCAACGCCGCGUGCGGGAUGACGGCCUUCGGGUUGUAAACCGCUUUCGCCUGUGACGAAGCGUGAGUGACGGUAAUGGGUAAAGAAGCACCGGCUAACUACGUG
Molecule: ribosomal RNA, 468 nt
Filed under: uncultured bacterium
Lineage: Bacteria
Description: partial 16S ribosomal RNA
Rfam family: Bacterial small subunit ribosomal RNA
Source: RNAcentral